Molecule: long non-coding RNA, 782 nt
Organism: Anguilla anguilla (European eel)
Lineage: Eukaryota; Metazoa; Chordata; Actinopteri; Anguilliformes; Anguillidae
Exons: 4
Source: RefSeq, a predicted model, not a curated record
GAAUUCUCAAAGACGUGUCAGGAGCCUUGAAAACAGCCAUUUGUUUGGAGUAAAUGAUCCCUGUGGAGGAAAUGAUCAUAAAGCUCAGGCUACAGAUGAAAUGGCUCAGCACCGAGGGGAGAGAAAAUGAGCGAAAUUCACACGUUCUGUGGACACCACCGAAUGUUCCACUUGGGGGAAAAAAACACCUCUCUGAUCGCACUCUUCCACGGCUUACUUCUAAGAGACCGAUAGCAGAUGGGACCGUGGGCUUUGUGGUGAGGGUGGCAGGGACAACAGACGGACCUCUGAACAUGUUCCUAUUGAUCAUUCUCUUUAUCCUUAUGGAGCCAGUCGAGAAAUGCAAGCAGAUGGAUAGUGCUGUAAAGGCCUUCGACGCUGGGUUGUCAUGGUGACGGAGGCCUUAUGGCGGUUCAUGCCCGUGUACCUCACUACUGCCUCACCCGCUCCACGGGCCAGACCCGGCAGCUCAAACUGGGUUGGACACACUGCUGGCCUACCUCACACUCAACCCGUGGCUGACCAACAAUUGUUGCAUGAAUUUCAUACAAAACACUCCUUCCCCCCUCUCUGUAUGCCAUGCUCUUCCAUUGCUUUCCAACGCAGCUCACCCUUGGCCAGUUUUGUGCAUCCUAAAGCCCUGACUGAUAAUCCAAAAGAACAGGAAGAUGGCUUCGACACUUCCGGAAAGGGCCGUGUGAGGCCGAAACAUGUUGGUGUAGUUUUUAAAUGUUUCUAUAUGAACUAGCCCUUCAUUAAAGGCUUUUUAUUCUAAGAAGAGU